GAUCAAAUCAAGCGCGAAAAGGGCGUUUGGUGAAUGCCUUGGCAGUAAGAGGCGAUGAAAGACGUGAUACUCUGCGAUAAGCCAUGAGGAGCUGAGAAUAAGCUUUGAUCCAUGGAUUUCUGAAUGGGGCAACCCACCUGAUACUGUGUUAUUGUUGCCGCUUCGGCGGCAGUCAAUAAUGCGGUAAAACAGGUAUUUUUAACCUGAAUACAUAGGGUUAAAAAGGCAAACCCGGGGAACUGAAACAUCUAAGUACCCGGAGGAAAGGAAAUCAAUAUGAUACUCCCCUAGUAGCGGCGAGCGAACGGGGACCAGCCGAGCCAUGAGUGUGACUAGAAUGCGUUGGAAUGCGCAACCAGAGUGGGUGAUAGUCCCGUAUAGGAAGCAUGAUUGGACGUAUUAAGUAGGGCGGAACACGUGAAAUUCUGUCUGAAGAUCGGAGGACCACCUUCGAAGGCUAAGUACUCCUUACUGACCGAUAGUGAACCAGUACCGUGAGGGAAAGGUGAAAAGCACCCCGACGAGGGGAGUGAAACAGUACCUGAAACCGAACGCCUACAAUCAGUUGGAGGGCCCUUGCGGCCUGACAGCGUACCUUUUGUAUAAUGGGUCAUCGACUUGGUCUCACGAGCAAGCUUAAGCCGUUAGGUGUAGGCGCAGCGAAAGCGAGUCUUAAUAGGGCGUUGAGUUCGUGGGAUCAGACCCGAAACCGAGUGAUCUAGGCAUGACCAGGAUGAAGGUAAGGUAACACUUACUGGAGGUCCGAACCCACACCUGUUGAAAAAGGUCGGGAUGAGUUGUGCCUAGGGGUGAAAGGCCAAUCAAACUCGGAGAUAGCUGGUUCUCUGCGAAAUCUAUUUAGGUAGAGCGUCAUCCGAAUACCCUCGGGGGUAGAGCAC
This 899-nucleotide ribosomal RNA is filed under the name Sulfitobacter sp. HI0023. RNAcentral describes it as "bacterial LSU rRNA". It matches the Rfam family "Bacterial large subunit ribosomal RNA", at positions 1 to 910 of the family's 2925-position model. Lineage: Bacteria; Pseudomonadati; Pseudomonadota; Alphaproteobacteria; Rhodobacterales; Roseobacteraceae. The record is from RNAcentral.